ACGCCGUCCCGAGCGGCGUUCGCGGCCUCGACCGGGCCAGUGCGGCGGGGGUGGUGCCGUGUCGGCGCAGCACCACCCCCGCCUU
Molecule: non-coding RNA, 85 nt
Filed under: Streptomyces sp. CdTB01
Lineage: Bacteria; Bacillati; Actinomycetota; Actinomycetes; Kitasatosporales; Streptomycetaceae
Description: Streptomyces RNA 6106
Rfam family: Streptomyces RNA 6106
About the family: Identified by deep sequencing of transcriptome at the end of exponential growth phase. Appears smaller on northern blot than sequencing transcript. This indicates processing step.
Source: Rfam by way of RNAcentral